This is a long non-coding RNA of Sinocyclocheilus rhinocerous, 217 nucleotides long. RefSeq lists it as uncharacterized. The record is from RefSeq and is a predicted model, not a curated record. The transcript has 2 exons. Lineage: Eukaryota; Metazoa; Chordata; Actinopteri; Cypriniformes; Cyprinidae.
UCCGUUAAUGGUGACAGAGGCCCUGAAGCCGUACUCUAAAGGCGGACCUCGUGUCUGGUUUGUGUCUAACAUCGAUGGAACGCACGUCGCUAAGACUCUGGCUGAACUCAACGCUGAGACCACACUCUUCAUCAUCGCAUCGAAGACAUUCACGACCCAGGAAACCAUCACAAACGCUGAAUCAGCGAAGGAGUGGUUCCUGCAGGCCGCCAAAGAC